RNAcentral lists this ribosomal RNA (502 nucleotides) under uncultured Diversispora. RNAcentral describes it as "SSU rRNA". It matches the Rfam family "Eukaryotic small subunit ribosomal RNA", at positions 591 to 1092 of the family's 1831-position model. Lineage: Eukaryota; Fungi; Glomeromycota; Glomeromycetes; Diversisporales; Diversisporaceae. The record is from RNAcentral.
CCAAUAGCGUAUAUUAAAGUUGUUGCAGUUAAAAAGCUCGUAGUUGAACUUCGGGGUUUACUCAUUGGUCAGGCUUAAUUGUCUGUACUGGUGAGAUGAAUCUCUACCUUCUGAGGAACUUUCAUGUCAUUUAUUUGGUGUGAUUGGAAAUCAGGACUGUUACUUUGAAAAAAUUAGAGUGUUUAAAGCAGGCUAACGUCUGAAUACAUUAGCAUGGAAUAAUGAAAUAUGACGGACUGAUUCUAUUUCGUUGGUUUCUAGGAUCACCGUAAUGAUUAAUAGAGAUAGUUGGGGGCAUUAGUAUUCAAUUGUCAGAGGUGAAAUUCUUGGAUUUAUUGAAGACUAACUACUGCGAAAGCAUUUGCCAAGGAUGUUUUCAUUAAUCAAGAACGAAAGUUAGGGGAUCGAAGACGAUCAGAUACCGUCGUAGUCUUAACCAUAAACUAUGCCGACUAGGGAUCGGAUGAUGUUAAUUUUUUAAUGACUCAUUCGGCGCCUUACG